RNAcentral lists this ribosomal RNA (966 nucleotides) under uncultured bacterium. RNAcentral's name for it is "bacterial SSU rRNA". It matches the Rfam family "Bacterial small subunit ribosomal RNA", at positions 8 to 971 of the family's 1533-position model. The record is from RNAcentral.
AGAGUUUGAUCAUGGCUCAGAUUGAACGCUGGCGGCAUGCCUUACACAUGCAAGUCGAACGGCAGCGGACCUUCGGGUGCCGGCGAGUGGGGAACGGGUGAGUAAAGUAUCGGAACGUACCUUUCAGUGGGGGAUAACGUAGCGAAAGUUACGCUAAUACCGCAUAUUCUGUGAGCAGGAAAGCAGGGGAUCGCAAGACCUUGCGCUGAUUGAGCGGCCGAUAUCAGAUUAGCUAGUUGGUGAGGUAAAGGCUCACCAAGGCGACGAUCUGUAGCGGGUCUGAGAGGAUGAUCCGCCACACUGGAACUGAGACACGGUCCAGACUCCUACGGGAGGCAGCAGUGGGGAAUUUUGGACAAUGGGGGCAACCCUGAUCCAGCCAUGCCGCGUGAGUGAAGAAGGCCUUCGGGUUGUAAAGCUCUUUCGGCCGGGAAGAAAUCGCGCCAGUUAAUACCUGGUGUGGAUGACGGUACCGGAAUAAGAAGCACCGGCUAACUACGUGCCAGCAGCCGCGGUAAUACGUAGGGUGCGAGCGUUAAUCGGAAUUACUGGGCGUAAAGCGUGCGCAGGCGGUUUUGUAAGACAGGCGUGAAAUCCCCGGGCUCAACCUGGGAACUGCGCUUGUGACUGCAUCACUCGAGUACGGCAGAGGGGGGUGGAAUUCCACGUGUAGCAGUGAAAUGCGUAGAGAUGUGGAGGAACACCGAUGGCGAAGGCAGCCCCCUGGGCCGAUACUGACGCUCAUGCACGAAAGCGUGGGUAGCAAACAGGAUUAGAUACCCUGAUAGUCCACGCCCUAACGAUGUCAACUAGGUGUUGGGUGGGUAAAACCAUUUAGUACCGUAGCUAACGCGUGAAGUUGACCGCCUGGGGAGUACGGCCGCAAGGUUAAAACUCAAAGGAAUUGACGGGGACCCGCACAAGCGGUGGAUGAUGUGGAUUAAUUCGAUGCAACGCGAAAAACCU